AAGUCGUAACAAGGUUUCCGUAGGUGAACCUGCGGAAGGAUCAUUAUUGAAUGAACUUGGUGUGAUUGUUGCUGGUCCUUUUGGGAUAUGUGCACAUCUGCCAUCUUUAUAUCUCCACCUGUGCACACAUUGUAGGUCUGGAAUAACUAUCUGGGGUAACUCAGUUGUUGGAAUUGCUGCUGGAAAGUUGCUUUUCUUGUGUUUCCAGAUCUAUGUUUUCAUAUACACCAUAAGAAUGUAACAGAAUGUAUUAAUGGGUCUUGUACCUAUAAACUAUAUACAACUUUCAGCAACGGAUCUCUUGGCUCUC
This 310-nucleotide unclassified non-coding RNA is filed under the name Pholiota sp. RNAcentral's name for it is "partial internal transcribed spacer region". The stretch from base 1 to 46 matches the Rfam family "Eukaryotic small subunit ribosomal RNA", at positions 1786 to 1831 of the family's 1831-position model. Lineage: Eukaryota; Fungi; Basidiomycota; Agaricomycetes; Agaricales; Strophariaceae. The record is from RNAcentral.